UGCAGUGUCACCUAAUGGCUAAGGUACUCGGCUCAUAACCGAGGAUAUGUGGGUUCAACUCCCACCACUGCGACCA
Molecule: transfer RNA, 76 nt
Filed under: Phormidium sp. FACHB-592
Lineage: Bacteria; Bacillati; Cyanobacteriota; Cyanophyceae; Oscillatoriales; Oscillatoriaceae
Also listed under: 1 other name
Description: tRNA-Ile
Rfam family: tRNA
About the family: Transfer RNA (tRNA) molecules are approximately 80 nucleotides in length.
Source: RNAcentral